RNAcentral lists this transfer RNA (74 nucleotides) under Lactococcus lactis. RNAcentral describes it as "tRNA-Leu". It matches the Rfam family "tRNA". From Rfam's summary of the family: Transfer RNA (tRNA) molecules are approximately 80 nucleotides in length. Their secondary structure includes four short double-helical elements and three loops (D, anti-codon, and T loops). Further hydrogen bonds mediate the characteristic L-shaped molecular structure. tRNAs have two regions of fundamental functional importance: the anti-codon, which is responsible for specific mRNA codon recognition, and the 3' end, to which the tRNAs corresponding amino acid is attached (by aminoacyl-tRNA synthetases). tRNAs cope with the degeneracy of the genetic code in two manners: having more than one tRNA (with a specific anti-codon) for a particular amino acid; and 'wobble' base-pairing, i.e. permitting non-standard base-pairing at the 3rd anti-codon position. Lineage: Bacteria; Bacillati; Bacillota; Bacilli; Lactobacillales; Streptococcaceae. The record is from RNAcentral.
GGUUCUUUAGCUUAGUUGGUAGAGCACCAGAUUUAGAAUCAUAGGAGAUGCUGGUUCAAGUCCAGCAAGAACCA